Rhopalosiphum padi (bird cherry-oat aphid) is the source of this 479-nucleotide long non-coding RNA. RefSeq lists it as uncharacterized. The record is from RefSeq and is a predicted model, not a curated record. NCBI's taxonomy places the organism in Eukaryota, Metazoa, Arthropoda, Insecta, Hemiptera, Aphididae. The transcript has 3 exons.
CCUUAAGUACAUGACAAGUACUCUCAUUUUCAUAUAAUACUUCAAUAAUUCCAUUCCGAAGCGUAAAGAAGACGAAUUAAGAAAUAAACUAGCUGUUUCUUUAGUGGCUGUGCACGUUUGAACUUUAAUAUGGCACAGCUUGAUUUCGCCGAAAAGCGUCGAAGAAUACUUACAAUUAUGAUGAAGAUCGUAUGAAAAAAAUUUGGAGUUUCUUCAUGGUGCAUCACUCCAUAUACACUGUAGAUUGGUACAACUCAGUUUCCCGGGAAGAAUCGACGCUUAAAUCUUGCCAUAAUAUCGGAAAAACAAAAAAACUGAAAUAAUUACGCUAUAUCCUUCUAUAAUGUCAACCCGCGGAGGACGAUUGGCAGUAUCAUUAAGAAGCUCAUCUGAAUAACAAAAAUAAUAGUGUCGCAAGGCUGUGUUUGUUUAUUAAUAUAAUUUUUUGAACAGUAGUACAGUAUAUUAUGAAUAUUUAC